This 468-nucleotide ribosomal RNA is filed under the name uncultured bacterium. RNAcentral's name for it is "partial 16S ribosomal RNA". It matches the Rfam family "Bacterial small subunit ribosomal RNA", at positions 28 to 507 of the family's 1533-position model. The record is from RNAcentral.
GACGAACGCUGGCGGCGUGCUUAACACAUGCAAGUCGAACGGAAAGGCCCGGCUUUGUUGGGGUGCUCGAGUUGCGAACGGGGGAGUAACACUUGGGUAACCUGCCCUUGACUUUGGGAUAACUUCAUGAAGCUGGGGCUAAUACCAGAUAGGAGCUCCUGCUGCAGGGUGGGGGUGGGAAAGUUUCGGCGGUUGGUGAUGGACUCGCGGCUUAUCAGCUUGUUGGUGGGGUAGUGGCUGACCAAGACUUUGACGGGUAGCCGGCCUGAGAGGGUGACCGGACACAUUGGGACUGAGCUACGGCACAGCCUCCUACGGGAGGCAGCAGUGGGGAAUAUUGUACAAUGGGAGGAAGCAUGAUGUAGCCCCGCCGCGUGCGGGAUGACGGCAUUCGGGUUGUAAACCGAUUUCGCCUGUGACGAAGUGUGAGUGACGGUAAUGGGUAAAGAAGCACCGGCUAACUCCGUG